This 29-nucleotide non-coding RNA is filed under the name Mus musculus (house mouse). Lineage: Eukaryota; Metazoa; Chordata; Mammalia; Rodentia; Muridae. The record is from RNAcentral.
UACACACACAAUGCAAGGACCUUUGCCUC